This 712-nucleotide ribosomal RNA is filed under the name Acanthamoeba griffini. RNAcentral describes it as "SSU rRNA". It matches the Rfam family "Eukaryotic small subunit ribosomal RNA", at positions 710 to 1172 of the family's 1831-position model. Lineage: Eukaryota; Discosea; Longamoebia; Acanthamoebidae. The record is from RNAcentral.
GUCAAACCGGUGACUGCGUGGCGUUGCGGGCUCGGUCCGUCGGUGCUCCCACUAAAAGCAUCGGCGUGUCAACCGGCCCGUUCGUCCCCUCCUUCUGGAUUCCCGUUCCUGCUAUUGAGUUAGUGGGGACGUCACAGGGAGCUCAUCGUCGUCAGCAAUGACGGCGCGGUGAGUUCCUGGGGCCCAGAUCGUUUACCGUGAAAAAAUUAGAGUGUUCAAAGCAGGCAGAUCCAAUUUUCUGCCACCGAAUACAUUAGCAUGGGAUAAUGGAAUAGGACCCUGUCCUCCUAUUUUCAGUUGGUUUGAAGACCAGGGUAAUGAUUAAUAGGGAUAGUUGGGGGGCAUUAAUAUUUAAUUGUCAGAGGUGAAAUUCUUGGAUUUAUGAAAGAUUAACUUCUGCGAAAGCAUCUGCCAAGGAUGUUUUCAUUAAUCAAGAACGAAAGUUAGGGGAUCGAAGACGAUCAGAUACCGUCGUAGUCUUAACCAUAAACGAUGCCGACCAGCGAUUAGGAGACGUUGAAUACAAAACACCACCAUGCGCAUUGCGGCCGUCUUUGGUGUCGCUCACAAGGCGGCACCGGGGCGGCUUAGCUCGCAUGGCACCGGUGAAUGACUCCCCUAGCAGCUUGUGAGAAAUCAUAAGUCUUUGGGUUCCGGGGGGAGUAUGGUCGCAAGGCUGAAACUUAAAGGAAUUGACGGAAGGGCACCACCA